UACGUAGGGGGCUAGCGUUGUCCGGAAUCAUUGGGCGUAAAGCGCAUGUAGGCGGCGAUUCAAGUCGGGGGUGAAAUCCCAGGCUCAACCCUGGAACUGGCCUUCGAUACUGUAUUGCUAGAGUAUGGAAGAGGUAGGUGGAACUGCGAGUGUAGAGGUGAAAUUCGUAGAUAUUCGCAAGAACACCAGUGGCGAAGGCGGCCUACUGGUCCAUCACUGACGCUGAGAUGCGAAAGCGUGGGGAGCAAACAGG
This 253-nucleotide ribosomal RNA is filed under the name uncultured bacterium. RNAcentral's name for it is "partial 16S ribosomal RNA". It matches the Rfam family "Bacterial small subunit ribosomal RNA", at positions 524 to 776 of the family's 1533-position model. The record is from RNAcentral.